Molecule: ribosomal RNA, 497 nt
Filed under: uncultured bacterium
Lineage: Bacteria
Description: partial 16S ribosomal RNA
Rfam family: Bacterial small subunit ribosomal RNA
Source: RNAcentral
GAUGAACGCUGGCGGCGUGCCUAAUACAUGCAAGUCGAGCGAACAGACGAGGAGCUUGCUCCUCUGACGUUAGCGGCGGACGGGUGAGUAACACGUGGAUAACCUACCUAUAAGACUGGGAUAACUUCGGGAAACCGGAGCUAAUACCGGAUAAUAUAUUGAACCGCAUGGUUCAAUAGUGAAAGACGGUGUUGCUGUCACUAAUAGAUGGAUCUGCGCCGCAUUAGCUAGUUGGUAAGGUAACGGCUUACCAAGGCAACGAUGCGUAGCCGACCUGAGAGGCUGGUCGGCCACCCUGGAGCUGAGCCACGGUCCAGACGCCUGCGGGAGGCAGCAGUAGGGAACGUUCCGCAAUGGGCGAAAGCCUGGCGGAGCAACGCCGCGUGAGUGAUGAGGGCCUUCGGUGCGUAAAGCUCUGUUAUUGGGGAAGAACAGAUGUGUAAGUAACUAUGCCCGUCUUGACGGUACCUAAUCAGAAAGCCCCGGCUAACUACGUG